CCGGCAACCGCAGGCUCCACGCUCCGGGAUCACCGCCGCCCGCCGGGAUGGGUGGGACAGGCCCGCCCCGGCGCCGCGGGAUCGGCCGGGAUCUCCUCCGGCUGCUCUUACUCUCUCAUGUUGUCACCAACUUGACAGCCCAGCAGGUGUGUCCAGGGAAGACAUGUUCCCCUCUCACGCAGGUGGCUUUCACCUCCAUUUCACACUGACCCGGUGAUCAGGUGUUUGACCCAGUAUAGAUCUGUUCUCCGCUGUGAGAUGAGGAGCUACAGAGCCUCUACAAUCACAUGUUGAAACAUCAUUUUGGUAAUUUCAAAGGACCCUCUGUAUUUUGUUCUAAGUACGCAGUUUACACAUCUACCAAAUAAUGUCACACCUUAGAGCUCUGCCUCAGGAGAUAUGGGACGGCUUCCAGAAGCAUUUCUUUUAGGACCUUUUCUCCCUUCUGUUUCCAGCUUUCACACCUAACAGGCUGUUCCACUCUUAAAAUGGCCCAGAGCUUUGUUCCUCUUCUGUUCAUGGCAAAAGAAGUGCACAACUACCUCUCCAACGUUCAGGAAGAGAAUGGAUGAAAAAAGCUUUUCCAGUUUUCAGGAGAUUUUUACACACUUUCAUCCACAGAACUCCAAGAACCAGUCACAGAAAAUAGCACUGCCGUUGACAAUUCACCAUGUUGUCAAUAGUUACUGUCAUUACCUAAUGAUCCAUUCAUAUGAUGUGAAUCCAUUCCACCCAGUCCACUCAUCGGCCCAUCUGACCCUGGUCCCAGGGGAAACUACAAAAGCAACAGACAUUAAAAACUGUACAAAUAUUUUUUAGACAACCUAAUAAAGAGAAAAUAUUCCUCAAGAGGAAAAAUAAAAACAGUAAAGGAAAAAUUCACAGUCCAGCUCUGAAUGAGAAGGGACUCUCAAGUUCCAUUCAGACCUUUAAGAGAAGGUCUUCCACGUGAAGACCAACAUCAUUGCUGUUGGUCACUUUAAUGAUUUUUGGAGACUGUCAUCUCUGUAGGCUGGUCUAUAACUUAGGAAUAAUUUAUUAUUUACUUAAACACUAUAUGUAUGACUUUCCAACCUGCUGGUGCUGACCCAGCCCUGCUCCCAUUGAAGUUACAGGGAACUUUAUUACUCUCUUAAAUUAUUAAUUUAAGUCAUUAAUUACUAGCUUUCAAACCCUGACUGCUCCACAUUACCUUUGCAACUGGAGCAGUUUCUGUCCAAUUUCAUAUAUUAAUCGUAAAUUUACCUCUUCACAAAAUUAAAGACAUUAACAUUAUGGCAAAAACAAUCUACAAUUUACUGCAUAAUGAUUUAUCAGUAUUUAUAAAUAAUUAUUCUUAAGUUCCACUGGUGAUUUUUUCCCAAAGGCCCACAACUGAAGGGCCACCCAUAAGAAUGGAAAACUUAGCAAUAAUGCUACCUGAUGGAAAUGCAAUAUUUGGAUACACAAAAGGCUGCAUAAUUCAAAGAAACA
Long non-coding RNA from Lepidothrix coronata (blue-crowned manakin), 1473 nucleotides. RefSeq lists it as uncharacterized. Lineage: Eukaryota; Metazoa; Chordata; Aves; Passeriformes; Pipridae. The record is from RefSeq and is a predicted model, not a curated record. The transcript is spliced from 7 exons.